This 508-nucleotide ribosomal RNA is filed under the name uncultured bacterium. RNAcentral's name for it is "bacterial SSU rRNA". It matches the Rfam family "Bacterial small subunit ribosomal RNA", at positions 776 to 1275 of the family's 1533-position model. The record is from RNAcentral.
AAUAAGAUACCCGGUAGUCCACGCCCUAAACGAUGUGCACUAGAUCGUGGAGGCUCUGACGCCAUCAUGAUCGAAGCUAAAGUGUUAAGUGCACCGCCUGGGGAGUACGGUCGCAAGACUAAAACUCAAAGAAAUUGACGGGGGCUCACACAAGCGGUGGAGCAUGUGGCUUAAUUCGAAGCAACGCGAAGAACCUUAUCCAAGGCUUGACAUGCACGGAUUAGCUUCCUGAAAGGGAAGUGACACUCUUGUAGUGGAACGUGCACAGGUGCUGCAUGGCUGUCGUCAGCUCGUGCUGUGAAGUGUCGGGUUAAGUCCCUCAACGAGCGAAACCCCUGUCGUUAGUUGCUACCAGGUAAUGCUGAGGACUCUAACGAGACUGCCGGUGUCAAACCGGAGGAAGGUGGGGAUGACGUCAAGUCCUCAUGGCCUUUAUGCCUUGGGGCUGCACACGUGCUACAAUGGCGCAUACAAAGCGACGCGAGACCGCAAGGUGGAGCAAAUACGC